Populus trichocarpa (black cottonwood) is the source of this 569-nucleotide long non-coding RNA. RefSeq lists it as uncharacterized. The record is from RefSeq and is a predicted model, not a curated record. NCBI's taxonomy places the organism in Eukaryota, Viridiplantae, Streptophyta, Magnoliopsida, Malpighiales, Salicaceae. The transcript is spliced from 2 exons.
UCAGUAUCUUUUCCUAAAAUCUCUCCCUCUCAAUCAGUGUGUAGGAAAAACCCCAUGCUGAACGUAUGACAUGUUCUUCCUCACUCCUUCAAAACUUCUUCUCCCCUCCCAUGGUAGUUUGAUCAUCCUCUAGAAAACUAACUUGCAGCAUUGGUCUCACUGUAGAUGAUCGAAAAGGCCGAUCUACAGAAUAAGACAGUUCUGCAUAUUGAUAGUAAAACAAGUACAAGUUGUUUCAUUUUGAUCUAUGGACAAUAUCAAGGAAUCAAUUAGAUCACUUGAUGACGACUGUCUGAUAUACAUUGCAAGAGAUGAUUUUCACUAUAAAGCCACCUGGUGAAGUUUAAAUCUGCAGAACUGUUCCUAGGCUCUGAUUUGGUUCCGCGACUCACUCAUCAAAUGACGAAUGCAGUUAGUUUCGACUAUUUUUCUUCUUAUACAAAUCUUAACAAACUUGUACCUACUCACUCAUCAAAUGAAGUGCAAGGAUCUGUACUUUUGUACUGAUACAUUCUGAUGUGAUCUCUGAGAAUGUUAAUGGAAAGCUGCUAUUCAUAACUUGUUCCUCA